RNAcentral lists this ribosomal RNA (492 nucleotides) under uncultured bacterium. Its description in RNAcentral is "partial 16S ribosomal RNA". It matches the Rfam family "Bacterial small subunit ribosomal RNA", at positions 28 to 507 of the family's 1533-position model. The record is from RNAcentral.
GAUGAACGCUAGCUACAGGCUUAACACAUGCAAGUCGAGGGGAAACGGCAUUGAGUGCUUGCACUCUUUGGACGUCGACCGGCGCACGGGUGAGUAACGCGUAUCCAACCUUCCCAUUACUGUGGGAUAACCUGCCGAAAGGCAGACUAAUACCGCAUAGUCUUCGAUGACGGCAUCAGAUUUGAAGUAAAGAUUUAUCGGUAAUGGAUGGGGAUGCGUCUGAUUAGCUUGUUGGCGGGGUAACGGCCCACCAAGGCUACGAUCAGUAGGGGUUCUGAGAGGAAGGUCCCCCACAUUGGAACUGAGACACGGUCCAAACUCCUACGGGAGGCAGCAGUGAGGAAUAUUGGUCAAUGGACGGAAGUCUGAACCAGCCAAGUAGCGUGCAGGAUGACGGCCCUAUGGGUUGUAAACUGCUUUUGUAUGGGGAUAAAGUUAGGGACAUGUCCCUAUUUGCAGGUACCAUACGAAUAAGGACCGGCUAAUUCCGUG